Long non-coding RNA from Catharus ustulatus (Swainson's thrush), 5054 nucleotides. RefSeq lists it as uncharacterized. Lineage: Eukaryota; Metazoa; Chordata; Aves; Passeriformes; Turdidae. The record is from RefSeq and is a predicted model, not a curated record. The transcript has 2 exons.
UCGAGUAACUGAAUGGCAUUUCUCCAAGAGGAACUAAAGGAAUAAAGAAAAAUGGGGAUAUACAUAAUAUGUAUGUCUGCACAAAUAGAAAAACCCAAGGCUUUAAUCCUUCCCCUGCUUUAUGCCUCUGGGACGGAACACAAAGCUGGCCUGCUGCAUGUGCCUGGAGCCUUGUUUGUUACUCUGCUGAGGAGGCAGCUGUCUCUGAAAUCUGAAAGAACAUCCAAUCAUUUCUUAAAGGGUUAAACAAAAUCCCUAAAGAAAUGCAGCUCACCAGUCUUUCAGUUUUAACUCUAUGUACUUUCCUCUUCUCAAAUUUCACUUUGUCCUACCAAAAAGAGAAGCAUCCAUUUUUUAGCAGAACAAACUCUAUAAACUCUUCCACACUACCAAACCAGUUGAAAGAUCCCUUUUCCUUUCACAAACUUAAGUGGUUUUGCAUAGCUUCUUAGAUAAUAAAAUUCUGGGAAUACUUCACACAUUCAGGCACUUCUACUGCUAACAUAAACAAAAACUAAAUGCAAGAUUGACGUUGUUCUAAACUGCAAAAUAUUUGAAGAUAAAAAUCCCCUCAGCUGGCUGCUUUCCUCACUCUAGCCCUGUAUCCAUGCCAAGUGUAACUGUUGCUAUGGCUGCUUCAUCAACUCAUUAAAACUAACAGUUCACUCCUCUCCAACCACCCUCCCUGAAAGGAAAGGGAUGUGGGCUCCCUAAAUCAAAGCCAGACAAGCCUGUGUUCCUUUACAGAACCACUUAAAAGGAACUUCUACCUGAAGAGUCCCUGACUGUCAGAGGAAAAGGCCUGAACCUGUUUGGGAGUUCUUGGUCUUUUAGAAGUGAAGCUUAUUCUGAAAUGCCAGGAUAGGGGUGGAUCCAAGGAGACACUAACUGGCUUGUGUCUGGCUGAAUAACAAACACGGCUACUCCUGAAAUACAAAGUACAGAGAUACAAUUGCUCCAGGCUAGAGCUGUGCUUACAGGAUCUUGCCCCCUGAACUGGGCCCGGAUCUGCCUGCUGGGCAAGAGGACUCGCUGUGUGCUCUGGUUCUCUGGCCAACAACACUGGAGAUUUAAAAGGAACAGUGAUCAAUUUACAGCAGAUUCAUGUGAGGUGAGGGAAAAAGCCACUACUGUUUAUGUGACCUGUUCUGCUCUAGACUCACACUCUUGUCCCUUCUCACAUUCAUUCAAAUCAUUUGAUGUAGGAGCUGCACCACAGCUAUUUAUCAGCUUGCAAGUGUCCACCUCCUCCCAAAUUUAGGGGAAUCCUUGUGACAGCAGUGGUGCCCCACAGCCCAAGCCCCUGCACAGACCCCAGACCAGGACAAGGCUGGAGCUGAGCAGCACUUGAAGCGAACACUGCUUAUUUAUUCAUCAAGCACAGUAGAUAAAUGGAGGUUGCUCAGGUACCUGUGAGCACAAGCCCAUCACCCCUCAUGGUGCUGCACCAGCUCCCUGGGAUUCACUUCUGAGAAUAAGCAUGAAUUAGCCAUAGACUCUUUUUAAAUCAGCCUCUGCAGCUGCUUGCCUGGAUUGCAACAUAAGCCAUGAUAAUUCAUGGUUCAGAUGUGUUCUAAAUUUUUACAGUUCAGGAGUGUGCUGAAAUAAUCUAAUUGUUUGGAUUUACACACUGUUCUGGGAAAAAAUCAUUCCAAGUCCAAAUAGCAUUCAGAAAGAAGCUUUCAUCUGCUGAAAAAGCAGAUUAAAAAAUUUUUGUUCUGAACUUAACCUCUGCCUUUUCCCACACCACCAUAACGUUUCUUCCUGCACUGUUCCCCAAGAAACAGAACUGCAGAGGAAUUAGGAAGAUGUUUUUACUUUUAGGAACGGAUCAGGUGAUUUGGAACACCCCUCCCAGGGGGAGAGACUGGAGCUAGGGUUGUUAAGCCUGUGUAAGGUUCUACAAGAGAGCUGGAGAGGGACUUCUGACAAGGGCAGGUCUUGACAGGACAAGGGAGAAUGGCUUCAGAGUUUAGAUGAGAGAAAAGGAAGAAAUUCUUGACUAUGAAGAUGGUAGACACUGAACAGGUUGCCAGAGAACCUGUGGCUGCUGCCCUAUCCCUGCUCAAGGCCAGGCUUAAUAAAACUUUGAGCAAGCUGGUCUCUUGGGAGGUGUCCCUGCACAACACAGGGGGAUUGGAACUAGAUGGUGUUCCAGGAUUCAGUGAUCAGAACACAUUCCCAGAAUUCUCAGAUUUCAUACCUAAGCACCACUGCAGCUUGGACAGAUGGUACUACUGCUCUGAUCAGUGACAAAUCAGCAGCUGUCCAACUGUGACACUCUCUGGGAGCAGGUGAGAAUUCACCAUGACAGGUCCUUCUCAAAACCCACACCUGACAGGGUAAGGCUUCCUGAAUAGGAACUGCAACCUAAUUCAGAAUUUUAGAGGAUCAACACUGUUGCUGUAAGUGGUAGGAAAUGUGUAAUAUGAAGUUUCUCCACUGCUCUUGGCAGUAUAAUUAUACCCAACACUUGACAAAAAUAAUAUUAAUAAAAGCCAUUAUCAGUUACAGUGGUUUAAUUUUGACUGUGACUUUACUAUGUAGAAUUGAGCACUCUGUUUACAUUUUAAGUACAAUGCCACUCAUAGUCAACAGGAACACAGAAGUGAGACCAACCCAACAGCCAUGCCCCCUGGUUCCAGAUUAGCCACAAGUUUUGCAUUUGAACACUUCAAAACUUCAGCAGCAGCAGUAAAGAUCAUGAAGAUGCUGCACCUCUCCUCAUCUAUGGAGAGACCACUUUGAUCUGCACACUGCAGCAAGCACCAUUUUUACACCAGUUUGAAGAACCCAGACCUGUUCACAUUGCAUGAGGUUUUUCCAAGCCAUGUGAUGGUUAAUUCCACCUUUUGGUGGCACCUUCUACUGUUUAUGUUCUAUUCUGCAUUUUUAGUCAUUCUUUCUACAGUUUUCUCUACCAGAGUUCCUAACUCAGUGGUCAGUUAGCAACAAGCCAAGCAGCACAGCCUCCAGGCACAGGUACAUAAGGCUGUAGUAAGGACACGUUAGACUGGGCAAGAAUACAAGGCUUAGUUACUGUGUCAAGGAGCCCACACCUGCCAGCUCAGCCUUCUGCAAGUUGUGGCAGAAAAGCUUAGCUGCAGGUUCGGGAUCUAUUCCCAAGUUUUUACUUGCACAUCCUUCUACCUUUUCCUCUCACCUCUGGUAUAACUUGAGUUGGAAACCACUCUUUCCUGACUUGUGGUUCAUCCCCAUCUUCCCCCUGCAGUGCACAGGGGCCAAGUGGCUCACAUGCUUCACAGAGACUACCAGAUACACAAGAAGUAUUAUAGCACCACACACCACUAAACCAACCAGCAGUAACAGCAAAGUUUAAGGAUAAACUGACAAAAAUUGGAGAAACAACACUAUCAGUGAAACAAUGGAAAACUUCACAGCGCCUUAUUAUGCUUAAAGAAUUGCAUUUUUAACAGAAUUUCAAAUUAGAUCAAAUGAAUCCUGUAACUGUACUUGUAUUUGUCCAUCCUGUUGAAAUUGAGUACUCAACUGCAGAACAUUAGGCCUAUAGCACACACAGACUGAGCCUGCACAGGGAGUUGGAGUAAGGAGUGAAGUCUGCACCCCUGUAGUUCUAGCAGUGACUACAUCCCUCUACAGAGAGGGAAGAGCCUUGAGUUUCAGAGGAACAAUACACCAUUAAAUGUCUUGGGAAGCCCCAGGCUGUCAGUGCUCACCACUCCCACCCAGGAGGUGCAGUUCCAUCACACACAGCCAGUUCUCAACCUCAAACCACUGAAGUGCUGAACACUCCUCUGCAGUUGGAGCAUUUCUGUCUCUUAACUGCAGCCCACACCAGUAUCCUGCUUCUCCUCUAAACUGCUGAAUGCACCCCAUUUCUGAAACACAGAGAUGGUGCCAUGGCGUUCUGCCAGCAACUCAAGCUCAAUACCCUUUAUGCUUCUAGAGCACAGUACCUGCAUUUCCCAGGGCAGCAGCAAAACUCCCUGACAGACCAUGGCUCAACAACUCAGGCCAGAGCUGUGACUGAAGCCAGGGAGCCCUCCAAAGAAAACCCUGACCUGCUUUUCCAGCUGCAGCACUGCAAGAUGUUCCAGGCCAACUGCAACUCUCCCUUUCCUCAAAGCAAGCCCAGUUAUCAGCUCUGUUCCUUUUCUUGGGCUCCACUUCUGCACCUCCUGUGAUGCACAAGUUUAUAUGCUACAGCACUGUCAGCACUGGCAAACAAAGCUCCAGUCCAGGAGCCAUUACCCUUUUCCAUCUUUCAACAGGUUAUGUCUUGAGUAUCAGCAAAGACAAAAAAACUCACUGGGGACAAAGUUCUAGGAAGUAAGGUAUUUUGAGUAUUUAAUAGAUGACAUUUCAAGCCUGUACAAUGCAACAUCAUUCAACUCUUUUGUAGAGAUUGUUUUUGCCAAUUUGAUUUGAGAAACAGGCAGCUAAUAGACAGUGCCACUUGAUUCAGAAACAUGCAUAUGUGGCCUGGGGGAAGCUCAAAGCAUUACCAAGUCAAAAGCACAUACUCACUGAUAAAGCAUACAUUGGACCACAAGGCAAACCCCUACCACUUCUUCAGCAAGAAUUCCAUCAUUUUCCUCCUAACACAACACAUCUGUAGUGUCUCAUCUUGUCUGUGACCUUACUUAGAAUUCAUAUGCAUAUCCAGACAAGGAGUGUAAAAAUAAUAUCAGGAUGGUUGCAACCAAAGGCAAUUCAUUUGAUGUUUCCUUUCCUAAGUGAAGAAAUCAUCAGCCAAAGCUUUUCUACUGGGAGACAUUCAGAAACAAGUCAAGUAUCACAAUGUUUAUUGAUAGAUACAAGUAUAUAAAAUCAGGGCAUGAACAUGUCUUGAUAAAUUAAGUAGACUUAAUUUCAGUACUGUAAGAGGGACCAAUUCAAAUUUCUCACCAUGUCAUGUUUCACACCCACAAAAACCUCUUCCAAAGGGCAUUAAACCAUCUCUUCAGCCGAUCAGUUUUUUGUGCAAGUAAACUGUUCCUUUUAAAAAAAAAGACUUGUGCACUUGCCCAGGCUCAAGGAUAUUAAAACCUAGCACAUAAAGCCCAUUACUA